Rhodamnia argentea is the source of this 888-nucleotide RNA transcript. RefSeq lists it as uncharacterized. The record is from RefSeq and is a predicted model, not a curated record. NCBI's taxonomy places the organism in Eukaryota, Viridiplantae, Streptophyta, Magnoliopsida, Myrtales, Myrtaceae. The transcript is spliced from 2 exons.
AAUUCAAUAAACGAACAAGACUCGACUUGAUUUUAGUUUAGUUGAAGAAUAGGGCAAACAAAUGAGGACACAAUAUAGUAGUUUUAAGAAGCUUCUUUCACAAUCUGGAUUUGGAUGGGAUAAUGUCAACAAAAUGGUCAUCGUGGAUGAUCCAACUAUAUGGGAGUCUCACAUCAAGGAAAAUAAGAUUGGGGUAGAUUCAGGAAUGAUGGGUUUUCUCGGUAUCUAGAUAUGUCUAUUGUGUUUGGUGAUACCUAUGCUAUUGGGGAUUAUGUUGUUGGAAAUGCCGAAGGCUUGGUGCUGUCGGAGGGAGGUGGUAACAAUGGUGAUAGUGAUGCAGGAGGUGAUCCAAAAGAACUUGAUGAACAUCAUAUUCAUGAGAAAGUCUUUAUAGCUGGUGCAUCUUUCACCCCGGUUCGUGAGAAGCACGAGUUAGAUAGGACUCCAAAUUCCAAAAGGAGGAGAAAGAGUAACAUAUUUGAUGUUUUUAGCACUAGCAAAGCCCUUCAAGAAAUGAUCAAAGUAAGGACGUGUCAAUCAACAAGUGGCUCCGUCACCUCACACCCCAUCACCUAUAGACCCAUACUCCAUUGGAGUAGUGGUUGGCGUCCAAAAUGGCAUGUCCGACUUGGACCGAAAUCUUUACAACAAAACUAUGAACCAAGCAUGCUUUAAUGCCACUUGGAGAGAGACUUUCAUGAUAGCUCUAUCUAAAAGGAGACGUGAAUUUCUUAAAUCUCUUUAAGUAGAUGUUGCGAAAUAUGCUAUGGAUUUGUAUUUAGCUUAAUUUCCCUCUAUGACUUAUGUACUUGAGAUGAUGUGGAUUUGUAUUUAGCUUAAUUUCACUCUAUAACUUAUAUACUUGAGAUGCCGUGGUUUUUCUUAUGA